GGAAUGUAUAAAUACUGCUCCUGGCCUGCAAUAAACUGCUCCUACUCCUGCUGUAUCACGUCACACAGCUUAUCUAAUUAACAUAAACUAGAUACAUCAGUCAACCAAUCAGGAAUCUCCACACUUAAUGGCUCGCUUUUGUUACUUCUCAAACCACUCCCUCUGGCAUUUUGCCAGGCACCAUCCAGACUUGUUUAGGAACUCUAACAUUCCCCUGGCAAAAUGCCAGGUGUUAUUUUGACUUGUUUACAGACUCUAACAUUACGGUAACCUCGCUGGCUUCUGGGUCUCUAAGAAGUUUGGGGAGUUUGUUUUAGAUCAGCGGUUUUUAGCCUCUCGGAAUUAUCUUCCCCACCCCAUUGUCAUCCUAGAGACCACGGCAAGGUGUGUAAUGAGCCCUUCCCCAUCAUCAACAAAGCUCUCUUGGCUUGGAGGUUCACCUGUUCUCUAAAUUUGAGUGUUUUCUUGCUCUAAAGUUUACCCUAACUUUUCCAAGCAGAAUGAUGCAUAAACAAAGCACUUUUGAAAUAAUCUUUAUAAUUCAUUUAACCUUUACAGUUAAGCUUUCACAUGUUGUCCCCACAUCCUUGCUAACGUGAAUCAGUUCAUGUUCAGAGUGUAGAUAAAUAUACAGAAAACACCUAUCAACUGUUCAUUGUAAUUAUUUCAAAAUGAAAGAAAUCAACAAUAGUCUAACAGUAAAGGAGGCAUUUAGGUAAAGACAUAGUCACUUCAUGAAAAACUAUGCAUCUAAUAAAAAUAUCAGGUUCUCAUGGCUACAUGGAAAAGCUCACAACAAUAAAAAGGGGAAAAAAGCAAGAAACUUGGGGUUAUGCUAAUUACAAGAAAAAGCCUACAUAUGCUCAAACAUUGAAAAAAUUUAAAUGAUGUUUUUCUACUGACACAGUUUCUGUUACUAAACUUUAAUAAGUUUUAAAAUUAUCAUCUCGAAAAUAGAACAAUAGCUGAAAUAGUUUUGGAAAUUGUUGACACUAGAAGUGAACCCACCAGGCCACCCCAUUAGCUUAGAUGGAAUAUGGAAGCCCCAAGAACUCUACAAAUCUCUAACAGGACUCUCCCUCUGCUAGAACUUCAACCUCAGAACCAUAGGUUUGGGACUAUCAGGACUCAUUUCACACUGCCCUUAAUUGGUAUCCAUGUUAUCCCAAGAAACCCAGGUCUCCCAGUUCAUCUUCCAUCUCUAAUCUCCAUGCAGUUCUGUAUAUCCCCCUUCUUUAUACAAAGUCCCUGGUUGUCCAUGGAGGUUAUUGCUUCCCUUGGCAGCCCUCUUAAAUGACAACUACCUUUACACACAUACCACUCACCCCCCAGAUCUGGAUUCAGGGUAGGUGACUUCGUUGCUUCUGGGUGCCACUCAAACCUUCUCUUCCACCCCCUUAAUGUCUUUCAUCUCUUCAUGAAGACUAACGCUGGCAUCCUGCUUCCCCCAGGUGUUAGCUGCUAGCACUGUCCAUACCAAUUUCUCAUAGGCGUGACCCUUUAUAGCCUCACCUUUUGGUUUAUUGACUUCUAUCAAAUGAUCUCGCUUUCUACUUUAUCUCAGCCACACCUACAGCCAUCCAAUUUUAGAACCGGCCAUAACCCCAAACUCCAACUCCUUAGUCAUUCUAAGUAGCUACCUUUUCAGUUCACUUCCUUUGUUAUGGCAAUUCUUAAGAUCCCUGAACUCCACCAACACAGAAUUCUAUGAUUCUUAACACAGUUUCACUGCCCCUUUAUGUUUACUUCCCUCCUUGCCCAGUUUAAAUUCCAGCACUCCCUUGCUUCUCUUUCCUAUACAUUGGGCUAAACCACCAUCCUGCUUUAAUCCCAACCCUUGAUGGCACUUGUGAGCUCAGUGAGGCUAGAGCAAAACUCAACCAUGCUGACGGGUUCACUCUCCAGUCCAUGCUCCCUAAUCUCAAGUGGUUCAUAGACUCAGACAACCUGGAAAUCAGUCCGUGGUUCCCUGGUUCAUUUAGUCUCUGAUUCUCUUUCGUGAGCUAUUUGAUAACUUAAGACCUUCAGGACCUCCCCCUUCCUUAUUACUUUCAGCUGAAAUCCUUGUUAUUAACAGAACCCAUCAGGAGAAAGGUCCACAGGUUCACACACACUCAGCAACCUUGGUGUCCCAUCAUGCCUUCCCACCUGGUGGACUUCAG
RNAcentral lists this long non-coding RNA (2162 nucleotides) under Marmota monax (woodchuck). The record is from RNAcentral. Lineage: Eukaryota; Metazoa; Chordata; Mammalia; Rodentia; Sciuridae.